This 292-nucleotide ribosomal RNA is filed under the name uncultured bacterium. Its description in RNAcentral is "partial 16S ribosomal RNA". It matches the Rfam family "Bacterial small subunit ribosomal RNA", at positions 505 to 796 of the family's 1533-position model. The record is from RNAcentral.
GUGCCAGCCGCCGCGGUAAUACGUAGGUGGCGAGCGUUGUCCGGAAUUACUGGGUGUAAAGGGCGUGUAGGCGGGAAUGCAAGUCAGAUGUGAAAUUCCAUGGCUCAACUGUGGGGCUGCAUCUGAAACUGUAUUUCUUGAGUGCUGGAGAGGAAAGCGGAAUUCCUAGUGUAGCGGUGAAAUGCGUAGAUAUUAGGAGGAACACCAGUGGCGAAGGCGGCUUUCUGGACAGUAACUGACGCUGAGGCGCGAAAGCGUGGGGAGCAAACAGGAUUAGAUACCCCCGUAGUCC